CAGCAGCCACGGUAAUACGGAGGGGGCUAGCGUUGUUCGGAAUUACUGGGCGUAAAGCGCACGUAGGCGGCUUGGUAAGUUAGAGGUGAAAGCCCAGGGCUCAACCCUGGAAUUGCCUUUAAGACUGCCGAGCUAGUAGGUGAGAGAGGUAAGUGGAAUUCCGAGUGUAGAGGUGAAAUUCGUAGAUAUUCGGAAGAACACCAGUGGCGAAGGCGGCUUACUGGCUCAUUCUAGACGCUGAGGUGCGAAAGCGUGGGGAGCAAACAGGAUUAGAUACCCGUGUAGUCCCUGUCUCUUAUAC
This 301-nucleotide ribosomal RNA is filed under the name uncultured bacterium. RNAcentral describes it as "partial 16S ribosomal RNA". It matches the Rfam family "Bacterial small subunit ribosomal RNA", at positions 509 to 807 of the family's 1533-position model. The record is from RNAcentral.